This 780-nucleotide ribosomal RNA is filed under the name uncultured Neocallimastigales. RNAcentral's name for it is "partial large subunit ribosomal RNA". It matches the Rfam family "Eukaryotic large subunit ribosomal RNA", at positions 22 to 643 of the family's 3401-position model. Lineage: Eukaryota; Fungi; Neocallimastigomycota; Neocallimastigomycetes; Neocallimastigales. The record is from RNAcentral.
GUACACGCUGUGACUAGCAUAUCAAUAAGCGGAGGAAAAGAAACUAACAAGGAUUCCCCUAGUAACGGCGAGUGAAGCGGGAAGAGCUCAAAUUUGAAAUCUUAAAGGGCUUUCCCUUUACGAAUUGUAGUUUAAAGAAGUGUUUUCUGUUGAGGUUUUGGUAAAAGUUCUUUGGAAUAGGACAUCAUAGAGGGUGUGAAUCCCGUAUUUGACCUUUACUUUCAACUUUGUGAUACACUUUCAAAGAGUCGGAUUGUUUGGGAAUGCAGUCCAAAAUGGGUGGUAAAUUUCAUCUAAAGCUAAAUAUUGGCGAGAGACCGAUAGCGAACAAGUACCGUGAGGGAAAGAUGAAAAGGAACUUUGAAAAGGAGAGCUAAACAGUACGUGAAAUUGUCAAAAGGGAAGCGUUUGACACCAGUGUUGUUUUUUCUGAAAAUCAAUUAAAGAACUGUUUAUGCUAAGUUGUUUAGGACUUUAUCAGCUAUCUGUUUAGUUUUGAGCUUUUCUUUAAUGCACUUUUCAGUUAACAAGUCAACAUCAAUUUCUUUUGCUGUAAAAAAAGCUUGAGGAAGGUGGCUUGAGAUUCGUCUUAAGUGUUUAUAGCCUCUUGCCUAUGCAGUCGGAGAGAUUGAGGUCUGCAGCGUAGAUCCUUCGGGGCUAAAUGCAUUUGUGCUAAGUUAUAGCAUUUUAUAGACAACUUGUUGACUAUGAUUUGUCUUGUAGCUUACUCGCUUAUGUUAUUUUACCUACGCUUAGGAUGUUGAAGAUGUAGCACAUCAU